RNAcentral lists this unclassified non-coding RNA (376 nucleotides) under uncultured bacterium. RNAcentral's name for it is "contains 16S-23S intergenic spacer region". The record is from RNAcentral.
UCCGAGUUGACCCCGGCAGUCUCCUGCGAGUCCCCGCCAUUACGCGCUGGCAACACAGGACAAGGGUUGCGCUCGUUGCGGGACUUAACCCAACAUCUCACGACACGAGCUGACGACAACCAUGCACCACCUGUCCACCGGCCCCGAAGGGAAACCCCAUCUCUGGGGCGGUCCGGUGAAUGUCAAGCCUUGGUAAGGUUCUUCGCGUUGCGUCGAAUUAAUCCGCAUGCUCCGCCGCUUGUGCGGGCCCCCGUCAAUUCCUUUGAGUUUUAAUCUUGCGACCGUACUCCCCAGGCGGGAUGCUUAAAGCGUUAGCUGCGCCACUGACGAGCAAGCUCGCCAACGGCUAGCAUCCAUCGUUUACGGCGUGGACUAC